GGACUACAAGGGUAUCUAAUCCUGUUCGCUCCCCACGCUUUCGCUCCUCAGCGUCAGGUAAGGCCCAGAGAACCGCCUUCGCCACCGGUGUUCCUCCCAAUAUCUGCGCAUUUCACCGCUACACUGGGAAUUCCAUUCUCCCCUACCUACCUCUAGCUUGCCCGUAUCCACUGCAGGCUCGGGGUUAAGCCCCGAGUUUUCACAGCGGACGCAACAAGCCGCCUACGAGCUCUUUACGCCCAAUAAUUCCGGACAACGCUUGCGCCCUACGUGUUACCGCGGCUGCUGGCAC
This 292-nucleotide ribosomal RNA is filed under the name uncultured bacterium. RNAcentral's name for it is "partial 16S ribosomal RNA". The record is from RNAcentral.